RNAcentral lists this ribosomal RNA (253 nucleotides) under uncultured bacterium. RNAcentral's name for it is "partial 16S ribosomal RNA". It matches the Rfam family "Bacterial small subunit ribosomal RNA", at positions 524 to 776 of the family's 1533-position model. The record is from RNAcentral.
UACGUAGGGGGCAAGCGUUGUCCGGAUUUAUUGGGCGUAAAGAGCGUGUAGGCGGCUAGGUAGGUGGGUUGUGAAAACUGGAGGCUCAACUUUCAGACGUCGACCCAAACCCCCUGGCUAGAGUCCGGAAGAGGAGAGUGGAAUUCCUGGUGUAGCGGUGAAAUGCGCAGAUAUCAGGAAGAACACCCGUGGCGAAGGCGGCUCUCUGGGACGGUACUGACGCUGAGACGCGAAAGCGUGGGGAGCGAACAGG